AUACAUCACCACACUGAUCAAAAAAUAGACCAGAUUUUCAUGUGGGGCAAGGAAGUGUCCUUUUAAAAUUUAAGCAAACUGGGUGUCUGUCUUGUACCUUGUCAGGUAACAAUG
Sorex araneus (European shrew) is the source of this 114-nucleotide small nucleolar RNA. NCBI's taxonomy places the organism in Eukaryota, Metazoa, Chordata, Mammalia, Eulipotyphla, Soricidae. The record is from Ensembl.